CCCGCCCCGCCCUGCCCGGCCCGGCCCGGCUCUGCCCUGCCCAGCCGGGCGGCGGCGGCAGCGGCGCCAUGGGGCUGCUGGAGCGGCUGCGGAAGGACUGGUUCAUCGUGGGCAUAGUGCUCGUCAUCGCCGUGGCGAGGCUGGAGCCCGCCGUCGGCGUUAAAGGGGGACCCUUGAAACCAGAAAUUACCAUAACUUACAUUGCUGUUUCAGCUAUAUUCUUUAACAGUGGACUCUCAUUAAAAACUGAGGAGCUGACAAGUGCUUUGAUGCACGUGAAACUACACCUUUUUGUCCAGAUUUUUACACUUGCGUUCUUCCCAACAGCAAUAUGGCUCUUUCUUCAGCUAUUAUCAAUCACACCUAUAAAUGAAUGGCUUUUAAAAGGCUUGCAGACUGUAGGCUGCAUGCCACCUCCUGUGUCUUCUGCAGUAAUUUUAACCAAAGCUGUUGGUGGAAAUGAGGCAGCUGCUAUAUUUAAUUCUGCUUUUGGAAGUUUUUUGGGCAUUGUUGUAACUCCACUUCUGCUUCUGCUUUUUCUUGGAUCAUCCUCCUCUGUGCCUUUUACAUCUAUAUUCUCGCAGCUGUUUAUGACUGUUGUAGUCCCCCUUAUUAUUGGACAGAUUGUCCGAAGAUACAUCAGGGACUGGCUUGAAAGGAAGAAGCCUCCAUUUGGCGCUAUCAGCAGCUGUGUGCUCCUGAUGAUCAUCUACACCACAUUCUGUGAUACUUUUGCCAAUCCAAAUAUCGACCUUGACAAAUUUAGCUUGAUCGUAAUAGUGUUCAUAAUAUUUUCUGUUCAGAUGAGCUUCAUGUUUUUGACCUUCCUCUUCUCUACAAGGAAUGACUCUGGUUUCACACCAGCAGAUACAGUGGCUAUCAUUUUCUGUUCCACACACAAAUCCCUCACCCUGGGAAUAGAAAAUGGAGUAGUGGUACUUUUUGGCUCUCACAAGUGCAAAUGUCUGGAAUGCAGGGAUUCCAAUGCUGAAGAUAGUAUUUGCAGGUUAUGAGCACCUGUCCUUAAUUUCUGUCCCCUUACUCAUCUAUCAUCCUGCUCAGAUUCUUCUUGGCAGUCUUUUGGUACCAACAAUAAAAUCUUGGAUGGUUUCUAGGCAAAAGGCACUGAAGUUAACCAGGCAACCCAAAGUACCUGUGAAGGUAUAAUGAUGGAGAUGGCCUGUGUCACAGUGAAUGUAUAUAUGUACUAUACUGUACACACAGACGAUUGAGACAACUGGGUAUUUGUGAAUGUUGCUUCAGUGCAUAUUUUAUUUUUAUAUAUACAUAUAUUAUAUAUAUAUAUUAAAACAAUACCUGUUAAGUGCCUUACAGAUGCAUUUUUGGCAAAAGCAUUGUUUCCAGAAGCCACUUUGUUGGUUACUGCAAGAAGUUGUACAGUAUUUUGGAGUCUUUCAGUUUUUAUUUUUCUAACAGAGUGAAAUGAAGAGGUCAUGACUAACAGCUGUUUCUUCCAUUAUCCCUGCUUUGAUGCCAGGGUGCACCAGCUGUAAGUUUCUGUUUUAAACUAGCCAAAAUGACCAGAAGCCUAUCCCACUGCUGGCUUACCCUGGAGAAGAGCUUUCUUGAAGGUUUUUUUCAAGAUUGACUUGAAUUCCUGUGUGAUUCUGUUACACUCCCUAGUCAUAUGACUGUGACAUGCCUUUUUCUUCUGAGUUUGUGUAUACUCAGCAUGGGGCCAUCUAUUGGAUAGAAGCUGAGAAGCAUGAAUUAUUUGCAUUUGUUGACACAGUUGUCUAGACAUUCCUUCAAAGUUAAUGGUUUCUCAGGAAAAUUCUUUCAAUUCCAUUGUAUGAUAUUGUGCCAUUGUAUAUCUUAAAUGCCUCAUAAGCUUCUUCAAAGAAAUGGUCUGGUGCUUGGGUUAUGAGUGAAAUAUUUGUGUUUGCAGCUAGGAGAUCUUUUAUAAUUUACCCCUGAAGAACACAAAUUUUUGUUUUUCUUUCUUUUUCUUUUUGUUGUUGUUGUUCCUGUUUUUGUUUUCCUUCCCCUGGUGCAAUGCACAGAGAUCUGCAGUGACAGAAUUUAGGAUGUUAAUAUCGAAGCAGAGUCUUUAUUGUAGUAAGCCAAGCUAUGUUUUCUAUAUUGCUGCAUUGGUAAUGAAUAAUAGCUUGUGAGGAUAAGAGUUGACAAUUAUUUUUUGUUGCCGAUUAAAAAGAUCCUUACAGUAACAAGAACACUAUCUUAGCUAAUUUGACAAUCAGUGACAACUUUUUAGAAAAUCAAAUGUUACUUUUUUUAGUGAAACUAUAUAAAACAUAUACAAAAUAUUAUUUCUAACGGGAGAGUUGAAGAGAUGGGAGCACAGGCAUAUAUUGUAAGUACCUAGCCAGCACUGCGUCUUGUCUGUGAGAUUAAGAUUUCAGAAGAGGACUCUGCACCAGACUCUGAGGGUUCCUAUCUGCAAAAGCUGUGCUGGCAACUGUGGAUAAAAACAUUUAAAAGGAAUGGAAGAAAUUGGUCAAACGCAGAUCAAUGUAAGUGCAGAAAUGUCAUGUGUGUCACAGUUAACAUUGCAGCAAAUGGUGUGACUGAGCCGAUCUUUAGCAGAUGUAAAUUAUUAUAGCUCUGAUAAGGCUAUAGGCAUUUAUGCAAGCUAAAGGUCUUUUUUUAUGAGAAUAGGCAUGUGAAAUUCAUAUCCUUUUGCCUUACUGAAAAACAAAUUGUCUUUGGUUUACCUAGUGUGUUUUUUCUAGUCUGGUAUUCCUGUGAACAACAGGAAAGCAGUCUGGUACCAAUCAUCAAUGCUUUAGCUGAUGGUCUGUCAGUGCAAGACUGCUCUGUAGCCAUCUGUAGGAGAAACUAUCAGAAGCCGACAGUGUCACCUUAUUCAAAAUUGUCGUCACUGAUAAAACAACCACAUAACAAAGGUACAUGAUGUGGUAAUAAGCUGAAUUCUUUCCAUUCCCUGGAGAGGAAUCAAACUCUGCACACUGAGUUUGUGGGAGGGCUGAGAGACACCCACACUGUCCUCCAGGGCUGUGCUCUCUUCUCACUAGCCAGUAAAGCAAAGGACAGCAGGCAGUGAGCUCACAGUUUGGAUUAGUAUGUCCCUAGAUGGCAGUCAGAUCCACGAACAGGCUAACCUGGGAGGUAACUGGAGAGAGUAAUAUGCAUGUUCCUGGGCCCUUUCUUAAAAAUUCCUUUGUCUGUGCUUAAAAACCCUCCUUGCAGCAGAGUCCAGACUCAGGACAGCUCCUUUUUGUUUGUUAUAAACCUGAACAUCCAGAAUGUUGUAAGGACUUAAUCCCUCUGAAAUUAAUGUCUCUUUCCAUUGGUUUUGAAUGGCAAAGCAACAGUCCCAGGAAGAGUGAUGGCUUUUUUUUUAUAUAUACAUACAGGACAAGUUCAAACAUACAGUAAUUUAGUGUGGUUGUGUGGCUCUAAAUAGUCAGAACACUGCAGCUACCCUUACUGAGCUACCUCUGUGUACUGAAUCUCCUACUUUCAGUACAUCCAACAACUUGCUUAGAUUCCACUGAAAACAUCCUUUCUUUGUUAAAUAUUUUCUGCAUUUAAGAAUAUUUCAGACUGUUUUAAGGUGGAGUUCUGUUAAAGCCUUUACAAAGUCAUUUUUGCUUGGGGCAAUGUAAAUGUGUAUGAGUGUUGGAGGUGUUGAUCUGAAGGGCAUAUGAACCAAAACUGAAAUACAUGUUUUAAAUCCAUACUUAAUGAAACUUAGUUAUGCAUAUCAAUCCUGUUAUGUUUAAAGACUAUUAAGAUGUCUGUUUCUGACUUGCUAUGCUGAUAUGUUCUUAAUAAACAGAAUGAUUUUGAAUUUAAUUUUGCAAAGAGGAAAACAAGAUAAAAUUACUUAUUGAGGUCAACGUUUUACCUCUGUUACCUAUGUUUUUUUGUUUGUUUUUGUGAGUAAGCUUUUAAAUUGUUUGCUUGUCCUUUAAAAAAAAAAAAAGAUCUGUGAACUGUACUGAAAUAUUUUAUGAACUAAACUUGGGGAAAGAAAGUUCUCAAAAUACUGUAGAUUAUAAUCAAAUGGAAGUUAAUUCAUUGAGUUCCAACAAUUUUUCAGUAGAGAGUUAGAAACGUUAUUUUUUUUUUUAGCCUUAAAUUUAACAGAGAUACUUGGUAUAGAACAUAAUCAGGCAAAACUGGUGGCAAAUGAGGACUUUGUGUAUAAAACAUAAGGAUUUUCUUGAUCGUUAAUACUUAGCUUUUACAUAUCUGUAAUCCUGUCUAACGUUAUCAGAGCUAAAAAAAAAAAAAAGACAAUAAAACAGCACUUCAGAGUUCACUGGGAAUCUUGGCACUUCGUGUUGAGUUAUUCAAACAUUUAAUUUUCCCUUUUGUGCAGUAAAUUGAGAAGCUUAUGAUGACCCCAGUAAUAGGUCCAAGAUAAAUCAUUUUUUACAUAUUUAAAAUUAAGAUCUUUAUUUUCUGGUUGUAAUUCUUCUUAUAUAUCCUUUAGCUCGUGUGAAUAGGUUAUAUGACAGAAAAGCCACAGUCUCAGCAGAAGCUGGGCAGUUGUGCUUGUUCACGGACCAAAAGGAGAGUAAUCUAGCAGUUUAGUUUUACAGAAGUAGUCCCCUUAGUUAUUCUAGCAGUCAGAGAAAGAGGAACUUUUAUUUGUGUAUGGUUUUCUGUGAAAAUAUCUUGACAGCAGGAGGUUAGAAGGAAAGAUGAAAUAUUGUCUGUCUGCAAGCACUUUUAUUUAUGUGUAAGUGCAUACGUGCAUAAAAUAUGAGCAGUUACAUAUGUAGAAAUACUAGAAAGGCCCAAGUCCCUGGUAUACAUUUUUUGCAAGUUUGCAUAUGGAGAAAGAGAGACUUUUUUUUUGCUGUUAUUCUGACAUUAAAAAUGAAAUUUCAGACACCAAAUUGUCUUUUGUAUUGAAUCGUAAUCUUAUACAGAACCUUUACAGCAGAUGAUCACGGCAUUGUAUUUGUAAACUGUGGACUAUUUUGCACUUAAAUAGAUGUUGAUGCAUUUGGGAAUUACAACAGAGUAAGAGGCUAAAUCACGGUUUCACCAUUCUGUUAUAAUCCUAAUGUGUUUAUAUUACUAUUAUUAUAAAGUGCCAGAAACACACAGAGACCUUUGCAAACACGUUAAAUAGACAAGAGACUAAAUUCUGUCCUUGGUUACACUUGGACAUCUCCAGUGAAAAGGCUGUUAAGCUGUGGAGUAGUCUCCCAAGGGAAGCUGUUUGAAAAGCCUUGCCAUA
Cygnus atratus (black swan) is the source of this 5200-nucleotide RNA transcript. It is a transcript of the gene named solute carrier family 10 member 7, with no coding region annotated. NCBI's taxonomy places the organism in Eukaryota, Metazoa, Chordata, Aves, Anseriformes, Anatidae. The record is from RefSeq and is a predicted model, not a curated record. The transcript is spliced from 13 exons.